GACGAACGCUGGCGGCGUGCUUAACACAUGCAAGUCGAGCGGUAAGGCCCUUUCGGGGGUACACGAGCGGCGAACGGGUGAGUAACACGUGGGUGACCUGCCCUCAGCUCUGGGAUAAGCCUGGGAAACCGGGUCUAAUACCGGAUAUGACCUCGAGCGGCAUCUCUCGAGGUGGAAAGAUUUAUCGGCUAGGGAUGGGCCCGCGGCCUAUCAGCUUGUUGGUGGGGUAACGCCUACCAAGGCGACGACGGGUAGCCGGCCUGAGAGGGCGACCGGCCACACUGGGACUGAGACACGGCCCAGACUCCUACGGGAGGCAGCAGUGGGGAAUCUUGCGCAAUGGGCGAAAGCCUGACGCAGCGACGCCGCGUGAGGGAUGACGGCC
RNAcentral lists this ribosomal RNA (385 nucleotides) under uncultured bacterium. Its description in RNAcentral is "bacterial SSU rRNA". It matches the Rfam family "Bacterial small subunit ribosomal RNA", at positions 28 to 416 of the family's 1533-position model. The record is from RNAcentral.